This 4033-nucleotide long non-coding RNA is filed under the name Canis lupus familiaris (dog). RNAcentral describes it as "lncRNA (ENSCAFG00000054514.1, ENSCAFG00805026849.1, ENSCAFG00845016910.1)". The record is from RNAcentral. Lineage: Eukaryota; Metazoa; Chordata; Mammalia; Carnivora; Canidae.
CAGUGAUUAGUAUUUAAAUACGCAGCUUUCACCCCUCACUGCCUUCAUAACACUUCACUUCGUAACAGUUCACGGGAAGUGUAGUGGGAGAGCUUUGCAGUAAAUAGUCUGCUAAGUUCCCCUCCCGGCAGGGGGUAACGUGACAGGCCCGGCUCAGCGUGGCCCUCGGCACGGUGUCAGCCGUGGUCAGCCGGGGUCUGGGAACUGGCCUGGUGGGUGGUUGCCUUGAGUGGCUCCCAGAACCGAGCUGCCCGGACAGUGUGCUCCGUGUGGUUUGGGAUGGCCCAGGGGUAAAGGGCCUGCUUCCCUCCGGCAGACUGGAGUUGUCACAUGUGGCAGGUAGAGGCCGCCUCUCACUGAAAACGCAGGGCACCAGCUCUCAUGUACUUCUCUAGCCACGACACUUCACGCUUUUCACCAUUCACAGUUGGCAUGAAGCACAUCACAUGUCCACUGGGAAUGGACUCUCGGUACUAUGCCGUGUGUCCCCGGACAUCCUUUCGUGUUUUCCCUGUGUCAGCUGUGCUUUGUGUCCUUUAGUAAAUCCCAGUUGUGGGAUAUGGUGAUGUGCCGAGCCCUGGGGUCACCAGACCAGGAGGUGUCUCAGGGACCCCGAGACUGUAGUCACUUUUACUUCAUUUGUAAGAUCUGCAGUCGCUUGUAAUGAUUUCUGCUUUCUACCUGUCCUGUCUUACAUGGAGCUAUUUACUGGAAACCAUUAAAAUGAAACGAGUGUCCAGAUUUGCUCCCGCAGCCCCACUAGUCGUGUUCCAUGUGUGGCAGUGCCCGCCGCGUUGGGCAGCAUGGGGAGGGCACGCUUCUUCCAUUGCAGGAAGUUCUGCUGGACAGCAGUGUUUAGAGUCCUGUAUCUUCUCAAGAGAUUGAAAAGGAGAAAAAAGUUACAUUUUCCUACAUGUUUGCUAUUUCCUGCUCUGUUCAUUCCCCUGUGAGAUCCAGGUUACACAGCUCACCUGCUGAGGAGUCCUUCUAAAAACAAAACACAACACAACUUUAUGUUAGCUUCACUUGAAACAUCUUUUUAUUUUGCGAUUAUUGUGCAUUAACAGUUGUUGGGUUAACACCAGGUGGAUACAGCCUGUCCUUCCCACUCACCUCCUGGAGUCUGCACGUGCUCCUCUGUGUGUGGUGUGGGUUCUGUGCAGUAUUUUCAUGUACAGACUCCCAUGAACACUGUAGUCAGGACAGACAUUUCUGUCCCCGGGGCCCCCCGUGCUGCCCACUGUCGCUGUAGUGCCCCUUCGUGCCCUGCUCCGUUGCCAGCAACCCCUCACCUGUGCUCUGUGUCCAUAAUCCGCUCGUUUCAAGAAUUCGAUCUAGACAGGGCCAUACAGCCUGUAAGCCUUUGAAAUUGGCUUCUUUCCUUCGGCACAGUUUUCUGAAGAUCCAUGCAAGUUGCUGGUUUCAUCCACAGUUUAUUCUUGAUGGCCCUGGAACGUUCUCAUGCGGAUGGGCCACUUUGUUGUUCUGGCUUCCAGGCUGUGUGCCUCACAGUGGCCUGUUGCCUGUUUUACCCCUCCCCCCACCUUUUUUUUUUUUUUUUUUUUUAAAGAUUUUACUUAUUUGACAGAGUGCCCAUGCAAGCAGGGGGAGCAGCAGGCAGAGAGAAAGAGGCAGAAGCAGACUCCCCGCUGAACAGAGAGCCUGACGUGGGGCUCGAUCCCAGGACCCUGAGAUCAUGACCCGAGCAAAGGCAGAUGCUUCACUGAUUGAGCCACCCAGAUGCCCUUGCUUCCCAUUUUUUGAUCAUUAUCUAUAAAGCUGCUGUGACUAUUUGUGUAUGGGAGUGUGUGUGUGUAAGUGUGUUUUCAUGUCACUGGGAUGAAGCCCCAAAGUACACCUGAGGCGUUGUAUAAAGCACAUGUGUAGCUUUGUCAGAAAGUGCCCCACUGUUUCCCCGAGUGGCUGCAUGCACCAUUUUAUGUCCUUACCGCCAAUGUGUGGCUGACCCAGUUUCUCUGCAUCUUCACCAGCAUUUGGUGUGUCCCUGUUUUUAAUUUUAGCCGUCUGACAGGUGUGUAAUGUUACCUCCUUGUGGUUCUAAUUUUUGUUUCCCUCUUGGCGGUGGUGUGGACCAUCUGUGGACAAGCUCGGGCACCCUGUGUGUGGCCGACUCAGUGAGAUGUCCACAUCUCAUGUCAUUUUCUUUCUUUUUUUAAUUUAAGUUCAAUUGAGUGAACAUGGAGCUUGUUAUUGAUUGAUCAGCUGCAUCUAGCACACAGUGCUCAUUCUGGCGACUGCCCUGCUUCAUGCCCUCAGCUGUCAUUUUCUGAUGGACUGUGUUUUAUUUCUCUGCUGUGAGAGUCCUUUAGUCAAGUUCCUUGCUUGGUGCAUGGUUUGCAGACCUCUCUGCUGUGUGAUGUGUCUUUUCGUCCUCUUCACGUAGAGUCUUCAGUGGAGCAAACAUGUUUAACUUUGCCGGGAUCUGGUUUCUCUUUUUUACCUCUGACGUGUGAUGUUUGUGGUGUCAAGUCUAAGAACUCUGCUGAGACUUGGAAUCUAGAAGUUUUCUCCUAUGAGUUUUCUAAAAGUUUCAUAAUUGUACGUUUUACGUUUAAGUCCCUGACCCACUAUGAGUUCCUUUUUAUGGACAUCCAUCUGCCCAGUGCCAUGUAUUGAGAGGGUUAUUGACUGCUUUUGUGCCCUUCACCGUGACAGAUACUUUCACUGGAUAUGGUUCAGGGGGAUAGUUUAUUAUUUAUUUAUUUGAGAUUUUUAAUUUAUUCGUUCAUGACAGAUACAGAGAGCGGCAGAGUCAUAGACAGAGGGAGAAGCAGGGUUCCUGCAGGGAACCCGAUGUGGGACUCGAUUUCAGGACCCCAGCAUCAUGACCUGAGCUGAAGGCAGAGGCUCAACCACUGAGUGCCCAGGUGCCCCAAGGGAAUUAGUUAAAAAAAAAAAAUGCUUUCAUUGCAUUAGCAGCAUUCCUGCCUCGUCUCCUGGCCUGCGGUCUGUUUCCGUCUGUGCUAGUUGCUGCUGCGUUGCCUCUCAGGGCCCAUGUGUCCUCCUGUGCCUGGCUUUGUGACCCUGCUGCUGGACUCUGUACAUUCCUUUGUCGAGUCUUGGCACGAUGGAGAGCUUGGUCAGUAGAGAGAGCUGGGAGCUCACUGCAGGAGGAUGGGCUGCUGCUCUGGGGUUAAGUGCUUUCUUUCCAGGCUCCGGCGCUGUGUGACGCUCCAUCACAUCAGGCACUGGGCGGCUUCCCGGUGGGUCUGCAUGGCAGGUAUCCUGGCACCUGCAGCUGCUGGUUAGCCCAUCUCGCUGGUGUCCCAGCGGGCAUCUUCCCAGCCAUGUUGGGGUGCCCUGGCAGGAGGCUUUCUGCUUGCCCACCCUGGCCUCCGAUGCAUCAUAGCUGCGCCUUCAAACCAGGUUCGAAUCUCAGAUCUGUUGGGAUGCUGUUCCCAGACCUCACAUUCCUCUCUUCUUUGCAGUCCGCUUACACUUCCUGGAUAGCCCUGUGACUAUUCAAGAAGUCUUUAUAUUAGAUUUUCUUUUCUUCAGAUUAUUUGUGUGGUUUCUACCUCUCGACUGAAAUACAUUCUUCAUUUUCCAACAUAAAUGAAAAUGCAUCUUUUUCUUUUUUCCUGGCUGCUUUUAAGAUUUUUCUCUUCACUGGUUUUCUGUCAUUUGAUCAUGAUUAGCUUUGGGGGGUGCAUGUGUUUAUCCCGUUUAUAGCUUGUUGACUUUCUUAGGCCUGUGGAUUUGCAGUUUUUAUUGAAUUUGGAAAUUCUAGGUAUUGUUCAUCAAAUAGCAUGCCAUCUGCAGUUUCAGGUUCUUGUUCAGACUGUUUUGUGUGGACACCCCAGUUGGCAAGCCUCAGCUCCUCUGCUUCAGGCUGUUUUCUGUUUAUGCCUCAUCUCAGGUAUAUUCUCUUUCUACACCUUCACGUUUCCUGAUCUUUUCUGCUGUGGCAUCUCGGCUGCUGUUAGUCCAAGGCCAAGUAUUUUCCCUAUCAGAUAAUAUUAUUUUUACAGGCGCACAGCUGGCUCAGCCAGUAGAGCAUGUGACUCUUGAU